ACGGAAUAGAUACCCUGGUAGUCCCAGCCGUAAACGAUGCUCGCUAGGUGUCAGGCAUGGCGCGACCGUGUCUGGUGCCGCAGGGAAGCCGUGAAGCGAGCCACCUGGGAAGUACGGCCGCAAGGUUGAAACUUAAAGGAAUUGGCGGGGGAGCACAACAACGGGUGGAGCCUGCGGUUUAAUUGGACUCAACGCCGGACAACUCACCGGGGGCGACAGCAAUAUGUAGGCCAAGCUGAAGACUUUGCCUGAAUCGCUGAGAGGAGGUGCAUGGCCGUCGCCAGUUCGUACUGUGAAGCAUCCUGUUAAGUCAGGCAACGAGCGAGACCCGUGCCCACUGUUACCAGCAUGUCCUGGUAC
This 360-nucleotide ribosomal RNA is filed under the name uncultured bacterium. RNAcentral's name for it is "bacterial SSU rRNA". It matches the Rfam family "Archaeal small subunit ribosomal RNA", at positions 723 to 1085 of the family's 1478-position model. The record is from RNAcentral.